Molecule: ribosomal RNA, 253 nt
Filed under: uncultured bacterium
Lineage: Bacteria
Description: partial 16S ribosomal RNA
Rfam family: Bacterial small subunit ribosomal RNA
Source: RNAcentral
UACGUAGGGGGCUAGCGUUGUCCGGAUUUAUUGGGCGUAAAGAGCGUGUAGGCGGCCAUGUAGGUCCGGUGUGAAAACUCGAGGCUUAACCUCGAGAUGUCAUCGGAAACCAUUUGGCUAGAGUCCGGAAGAGGAGAGUGGAAUUCCUGGUGUAGCGGUGAAAUGCGCAGAUAUCAGGAAGAACACCAAUGGCGAAAGCAGCUCUCUGGGACGGUACUGACGCUGAGACGCGAAAGCAUGGGGAGCGAACAGG